GGGCGGCGGCGAGCGGGA
Molecule: microRNA, 18 nt
Filed under: Plutella xylostella (diamondback moth)
Lineage: Eukaryota; Metazoa; Arthropoda; Insecta; Lepidoptera; Plutellidae
Description: pxy-miR-8528a
Source: miRBase by way of RNAcentral